This 1617-nucleotide long non-coding RNA is filed under the name Canis lupus familiaris (dog). Its description in RNAcentral is "lncRNA (ENSCAFG00000053960.1)". The record is from RNAcentral. Lineage: Eukaryota; Metazoa; Chordata; Mammalia; Carnivora; Canidae.
AUUGAGCACCUACUUACGAGCCAUUGUUCUAAGUGUCAGGGGAACACGCUAUUGUGACCUCUUAAAAUAUCACAAGCUGGUUAUUUUCUACCUUGUAAAAAUUAAGAAACUAGGGCCCAGAGAGAAUAUACAGCUUGUCAAGGUCACACAGCCAGUCCGCGGCAAAGCUGGGUGGAGAGCCAGUGUGUUCUCACUCCAUGUUUCGUGCAUUUUACCCAGUAUCUUGCUGCCUGGCCUUGUCAUAAUGGGCCAUCAUUGUAAAUGCAGGACAUCUUCUCCAAGACUACAAUUCAUGAGCAUUUCCAGUUCCUCUGCCAAAAGAGUUAAUGUUCAUGAUAGGAAAAUUGAAAGGGGAUUCUGACUCUUUUUUUUUUUUUUUUUUUUUUUUGACUCUGACUCUUUGGAACCUGGUAUAAAAGUUCAUUCCUUUUCUUUCCAAACUGCUCAACUUCAGAAUUUGAUUUCAGAAGGCUUUUAGCUCUGAGGCAUGCCAACUCAGGCUUCCACUAAUCAUCCUGGAAGGCCAGCCUCGGAUUGGGAGUUACAUUGGGUCCUGGUUGGAAUAUCCUCAAAGGGGUGAGGAAGAACCCUGAAUCUGCAGUCAUGCCCUGAGUUUCUAAUCUGCUUGUUCACCAUCUGGACAACUCUCUGUGUUUUCAGAUCCCGUAUGUUUCAACUUCAGCAUUGUGAGAAACAAGUGAGGUAACCUAUAGCAGGGCGACUCGAAAGUCUGGAAGAGUCUUCCAUCUAGAAUGAUCACCCUCCUUGCUUGCACCCAAGAGGGAUUGAAAACCAGGAACAGCAUGACACAACGCUUCGGCCCAACAUCACGCCACUUCUAAUCAAAUCUCAUUUAAUUAGGAGGCUCCGAGGAUGGUCAUGAGCUCACACACUGCCUGUCACAGCCCUGUGCUUCUCGGUGAGGGAGACAAGUGGAGCUCAGAAAGACUGCAUCUUGCUUACAGCAGCAUCUGGCUCCUGCAAAGAAAGGUGGUGAGAAGAAGGGUUGUUCUGCCAUCAACAAGUUGUGACCAAAGAAUACACCAUCAAUAUUCACAAGCCCAUCCAUGGAGUGGGUUUCAAGAAGCCUGCCCCAUGAGGCACUCAAAGAGAUCUGGAUAUUUGCCAUGAGGAGAUGGGAACUCCAGAUGUACCCAUUGACACCAGGCUCAACAAAGCUGUUUGGGCCAAAGGAAUAAGGAAUGUGCUAUACCAUAUCCAUGUGUGGUUGUCUAGAAAAUGUAACAAGGAUAAGGAUUUACCAAAGAAACUCUAUACAUUGGUUACCUAUGUACCUGUCACCAUUUUCAAAACUCUACAGACAGUUAAUGUGGAUGAGAACUAAUCACUGAUUGAGAACUAAUAACUUGAUUGUCAAAUAAAGAUAUAAAACUGCAAAAAAAAAAUUAAGUUUCUGUCACCUUAAAGUAGACUGUUACAAUGAUAAGGUGUUCUGUAAGCCUCAUAGUAACCAGAAAGCAAAAACCUGUAAUAGAUACAUAAAGGUAAGGAGAAGGGAAUCAAAGCCUAGCACUAUGGAAAAUCAUCAAUUCACAAAGACAGCAAGAAAGAAAGGUUCAAAGCAACCACAAAAGAGCCAGAAAACAACCAACAAGA